RNAcentral lists this ribosomal RNA (253 nucleotides) under uncultured bacterium. RNAcentral's name for it is "partial 16S ribosomal RNA". It matches the Rfam family "Bacterial small subunit ribosomal RNA", at positions 524 to 776 of the family's 1533-position model. The record is from RNAcentral.
UACGAAGGGGGCUAGCGUUGCUCGGAAUUACUGGGCGUAAAGGGCGCGUAGGCGGACAUUUAAGUUAGAGGUGAAAGCCCAGGGCUCAACCCUGGAAUAGCCUUUAAUACUGGAUGUCUUGAGUUCGGGAGAGGUGAGUGGAACUGCGAGUGUAGAGGUGAAAUUCGUAGAUAUUCGCAAGAACACCAGUGGCGAAGGCGGCUCACUGGCCCGGUACUGACGCUGAGGUGCGAAAGCGUGGGGAGCAAACAGG